AGGUCACUUCAAAGAGGGCUUGUGGAACUGAGACCAAGAGCUCUUAAUGCCGUGACCACAGAUAGAGAGUCUCCACGGAAUGCCAUCGUCCUCCACAGUGCUGUUUUCUCCUGUGGAGACACAUGG
Molecule: small nucleolar RNA, 126 nt
Organism: Echinops telfairi (small Madagascar hedgehog)
Lineage: Eukaryota; Metazoa; Chordata; Mammalia; Afrosoricida; Tenrecidae
Product: small nucleolar RNA SNORA25
Exons: 1
Source: RefSeq, a predicted model, not a curated record